GACGAACGCUGGCGGCGUGCCUAAUACAUGCAAGCUGAGCGCUGAAGGUUGGUACUUGUACCAACUGGAUGAGCAGCGAACGGGUGAGUAACGCGUGGGGAAUCUGCCUUUGAGCGGGGGACAACAUUUGGAAACGAAUGCUAAUACCGCAUAAAAACUUUAAACACAAGUUUUAAGUUUGAAAGAUGCAAUUGCAUCACUCAAAGAUGAUCCCGCGUUGUAUUAGCUAGUUGGUGAGGUAAAGGCUCACCAAGGCGAUGAUACAUAGCCGACCUGAGAGGGUGAUCGGCCACAUUGGGACUGAGACACGGCCCAAACUCCUACGGGAGGCAGCAGUAGGGAAUCUUCGGCAAUGGACGAAAGUCUGACCGAGCAACGCCGCGUGAGUGAAGAAGGUUUUCGGAUCGUAAAACUCUGUUGGUAGAGAAGAACGUUGGUGAGAGUGGAAAGCUCAUCAAGUGACGGUAACUACCCAGAAAGGGACGGCUAACUACGUG
Molecule: ribosomal RNA, 497 nt
Filed under: uncultured bacterium
Lineage: Bacteria
Description: partial 16S ribosomal RNA
Rfam family: Bacterial small subunit ribosomal RNA
Source: RNAcentral